Molecule: long non-coding RNA, 1883 nt
Organism: Oncorhynchus gorbuscha (pink salmon)
Lineage: Eukaryota; Metazoa; Chordata; Actinopteri; Salmoniformes; Salmonidae
Exons: 2
Source: RefSeq, a predicted model, not a curated record
AGGAGACUGGGUGAGAAGCUGUACAGAGUAUGGACAGAAGGUGGGGCUAUUGCAUCUCCUACUGGUCUGCUUGCUGGGGAGAAUGAAGAUUUGUGUGUGUCUGGUGUAAAUUGAAGUUUACUGGCGUAAAUUAAGAUUUGUGAGACUCAAAUCGUGUGCAUGAAAUACGCUUGAUAUUCAGUCUGGGACUAAUAUCGGUAUGAAUGAGGUCGGGGACCAAGCGAGUGUGGUACAUUAGGUAUUUCAGUUGGAGCUGGUAACGGUGAGAAUGUUGAAAAAGUCGCAGGCUUGCUGAUGGGAGUUAUAUCAUAGAAUAUUGGGGGGUGUGCAUGACUGUUGGAAAAGGUGUUCAACUCUAUUAACGUAAAAUUCUGUGUGUAGAGUUAUAUUAUGAGGUUGGAACUAUACUAAUAUUGUGGAAUUACAUAAUCAACAUCUGAACAUACUUACGUUAAACAUUAAUUGAGCCACUGAGUAAUAGAUAAGAUAUACACUAGGUACGGGGCGAUGGGUGUGGUCGAUGUAAGACGGGAGUGGUGUUCUAACCAAGUGCUGAGACAUAAGGUAGAUUUAUUUUGUUCUUUUAAUUAGUUUACACAAGUUCUUCCCGGUUAUUGAUUUUGGUUUGAUUGUUCAGAUAAAACCACUGAAAUUAAACAGGAGGUUAAGGUAGACUAACAUUAGAAUCUGUAUUCAUUAUGGGGAACAAUGAAAGGCCCGCAGAGGGGAUUGCAGGCUGAGGUUUUUAUGUUAAAGGGACAGUGCACAUUUAACACAGUUGUGUGUGUGUCUAAUGGCUGGGGAUUUAAGAAGUAUUUUUGGGGAGACAAUUUGGAGAAACACGAAUAAAACAUGAAACACCGAGACAAAUUAUUUGAGUUUGAGGGGAUUAUCAUAAUUAUUAGGUUUUGUUUUUGUAGUAAACGUUUGGGUUAAGGGGAUUUUCACGUUCCCAGAUACAUGGUAUUUUACAGCUGGGGGAAAAGGCAGACGGAGGGGCCCUCCCCCGCACUGCAGAGACCUUGAAAGUUGGCGAGAAGAGAGGAGAGGUUUUUGGAAAGGGGGGGGCCAGGACAGGCAAAGAUAGCAGUUGCUGAGUGGAGACAGGGGGGAGAGUUGGACAUGUAGAAAAUGUAGGGGGCGCUCCUUCAUGAUGAUGUCAGAACAUAAGGAUACUAUACUAAUCUUACCUAAGUCAUUAUUUAGAGUAGGUAAGGUUGAUACCUGGACAAAGCCAGGUAUCAAAAGGGGGAUGGGUAAAUUGUGGUCUAGGAUAGGAUGGGGACUAUUGGAUAAGAAACUAAUAAUUAAAAAAAUGUAAGCUAACAAUUGGGCAUAGAAGUUAAAGAUAUAAUCAGAUAAAACAUAUGAGAAAUUGUUUGUUAACCAAGCCUGUAUGUCCAGGAUUUUAUGCAUUACAGGUGAACUACAGGUGAAGUCACUCAAUCCAGUCCCAGAGGCUUGGGGACCAUAGAAGACCCCUGGUGACAGCUAGCUGAAAGAGCUACCCAGAUUCAUAUCGCACGGCGGAAGGGUAAGACACUUUUUCACUGUCGGACAAUAAACAGAGUUCGGGAGAAGAACUGGAAUUAACAGAAUUCCGGGGGCCAACUCUCGAAUGAAGUAAACCCUACCUGUCCUAUCACCCCUGUUUUUGUUCAUAGAAUGAGGAUGUGUCUGGCUCUGGCUAAGUGAUAUGUAUUUUGUUCCAAAAUGAACAUAAGAGAUCCCUAGAUCUGGGUAGACAGGAAGUUAGAGUAGAGAUUACAUGAUAACCGACUUCGGGGGGGGGAUCCCACAAGGGUGGAUAGGUUUUCCAUGAUAUGGGGGAAACCUGGGAGCAAUGUUGAACUUUGUAAAGGUGAUGAAAUCCUACUAACCAU